AAGGAUCAUUGUCGAUGCCUCAAUCCAGAGAGACCCGCGGACACGUUCUAUCAAUACCCGGGGCGGUCGAAGCUGCCCAGCAGCUCGGCCCCCCGGAAAUGUCGGGACGGGGCCGUGGCCUAUCGUCCCGGCGCAACAACCAACAAACCCCGGCGCGGAAUGCGCCAAGGAAUCAACAAUAGUAAAGCGCGCCCCGUCGGCCCGGCAACGGUGCUCGCACGGGGGACGUCGCAACACUCGAGUCCAAAACGACUCUCGGCAACGGAUAUCUCGGCUCUUGCAUCGAUGAAGAACGUAGCGAAAUGCGAUACUUGGUGUGAAUUGCAGAAUCCCGUGAACCAUCGAGUCUUUGAACGCAAGUUGCGCCCAAAGCCACUAGGCCAAGGGCACGCCUGCCUGGGUGUCACAAAUCGCCGCCCCAACCCCUGUGCCUCUCUGGCCACGGAGCGGGGCGAAUGCUGGCCUCCCGUGAGCACCGCCUCGCGGCUGGCUGAAAAUCGGGUUCGUGGUGGAUGCAGCGCCAUGACAGACGGUGGUUGAGCGUGUUCUCGAGGCCAGUCAUGCGGGCGGCCUCCACCAGCUACGCACCCAGCGACCCGCGAGCGACUCCGAUCGCCCACGACGCGACCUCAGGUCAGGC
RNAcentral lists this unclassified non-coding RNA (640 nucleotides) under Dalbergia cultrata. Its description in RNAcentral is "partial contains 18S rRNA, ITS1, 5.8S rRNA and ITS2". The stretch from base 251 to 406 matches the Rfam family "5.8S ribosomal RNA". Lineage: Eukaryota; Viridiplantae; Streptophyta; Magnoliopsida; Fabales; Fabaceae. The record is from RNAcentral.